GUUCCCGGGCCUUGUACACACCGCCCGUCACACCAUGGGAGUGGGUUGCACCAGAAGUAGCUAGUCUAACCUUCGGGGGGACGGUUACCACGGUGUGAUUCAUGACUGGGGUGAAGUCGUAACAAGGUAGCCGUAGGGGAACCUGCGGCUGGAUCACCUCCUUAAU
RNAcentral lists this ribosomal RNA (166 nucleotides) under Escherichia coli. RNAcentral describes it as "partial 16S ribosomal RNA". It matches the Rfam family "Bacterial small subunit ribosomal RNA", at positions 1370 to 1533 of the family's 1533-position model. RNAcentral also lists the same sequence under 1 other name. The record is from RNAcentral. Lineage: Bacteria; Pseudomonadati; Pseudomonadota; Gammaproteobacteria; Enterobacterales; Enterobacteriaceae.